This is a long non-coding RNA of Homo sapiens (human), 3027 nucleotides long. The record is from Ensembl. Lineage: Eukaryota; Metazoa; Chordata; Mammalia; Primates; Hominidae.
UCCUUCCUUCCUGGCCUGCUAUGGUCUCCUGCCUUGACCUCUGUCCUUCCCAUCUAGCCUCCUGAUUUAUUCUUCCUCAGCCCACAUCUUCCAUCAGAGGAUCCCACGAAAACAGUGCCAAAGAGAAUUCAGAACUACGUCCACUGGUCCAGUAACCCAUGAUAAGAAAACUGAGGCUCAGAACGGGAAGUUCAUUGCUCAUCAUCAAACAUCCAGGAAAUGGUGGAGCCUGAAUGGGAACUCAGCUUCCAACAUGGCGUGGAUGUGGCCCAUCCCUUGGUGGCCUGGCUGGGUCUAUCUUAUGACAGUACGAGAUGGUGUCUUUUCUGGAUGCAAAUUCUGGAACUGUGGCAGCACCCCAGGGACCACAGAGGGAAGUGACCAGAGGACUAAGUCAAAACACUGCAGGUAGCCCACCAGAGAGGUGAGGAUCAGCUGGGUCUUUGAUGAAGUCACUGAGCUGGUGAAUUAACCAACGAUGGAGCCUCUUCAUGUCAUGAUUUUUCAGAUUCCCCUUCUGGGUUAGAGUUGCUUGGUCCUUGUAGCCAAAAUCAUCUUUAUAAGACCUCAAUGUUCAAUCAGAAUAUUGACUCAGAUCCCAAAUCUGAUCCCAAGCCACAAAUCCAAAUCCGAUUCUAACUUGAUUCCAUAUCUUGAAGCCACAUAAAUCAACAAACUCAACCAUGCCUCCAGUCUUAGCUCUCUUCCCAACCCUCAUCCCCAUAUCCCAUUUCAGCCCAUAUCCCAUUUUGGCCAUUGUUAAUGUGAAGAUGACCAAUUUAAUUUUUAGAAUAGUCUUUUUUAAAAAAACAAAUUAGUAAUUUGGAUCCUAUAGCUGACUACCUCUCAUCUAAAUUUAAUUUUUUCUUAGUUUUUCUUCUAUACAGUGGAUUUCUUAUUUUUUAGGGAAAAGUUGUUGAUUGUUUAUGCAAUAGUUUAACACCAAUCCUUUAUAUAUUUAACAAAUAUGGAUUGGGUGGUAGCUAUCUACCAAUGAGGAUACAAUGGUGUGCAAACCUAGAUAGUGUCUCUUCCCUCAAGGAGCUGAUAGUGUCAUGUAAAAGAAAUACAGUCAAUUCAUAAACAAGUGUAAAAUUACAACUACAAGGCAUGCUCUGAAAGACAGGUGCAGGGUAUUAUGAAGGCACUUCCAGAGGGGUUAGACCCAGGAAUUGACUAUGAGCUGAGAUUUGAAAGAAUAUUAAACUAGAAGAAAUCUUCUAGGAACUAGAAGUAGACUAGAAGAAAUCUUCUAGUAACUAGAAAUAGUAAACUAGAAGAAAAUUUCUUCUGGUAACUAGAAGAAAAUUUCUUCUGGUAACUAGAAGAAAAUGGGAGGAGAAUGGGGAGUGUGUUGUGUAGAGAAAAGAGCAUGUGCAAAGGCCCAAGGCAUUAUUGCUGGAGCUCGGAGGCCAGAGGUUAACUGGGACCAGAUAAUGACGAGCUCUGUAUGUCAUUGUGAGUCUUGCUUUAUCCUGUGGAUAAUGAAGAACUAUUUGAACCUUAGUCAGAGAAAUAACAUAACAAGAUUUGUAUUUUCAAAACAUCAACCUAGCUACUGUAUGAAGGCUGGAUUUGGGUGGGAUGUGAAGAUACUGGGCAACCAUGGGGGAAGUCAUUGUUGUUGUCUAGAUGAGGGAAGAUGGUGACUUGGAUACAGGUGGUUGAAAGGUGGAGACGAUGUUAAGUACAUGGGUUCAAAAUGCACUUAGGAGAGAGAAUCAACAAGCCUUGGUGAUGGAUUGAAUGAAGGUUGUGUUGAGGUAGUGGAAGAUGUUAAGAUUUCAAAGUCUGUUGCUCGAUGGACAGUGAUGCCAUUCAUUGAGAAGACAUGGUAGAUGUGGUCAAAUGGUUCUGAUAUGACAAGAAAAGACCUCAGACCCUGACUUCAAGCAGAACCCUAAAUCCAACCUUUACUUUGACACAACUCCCAACACGUAUUUUGACAUAAGCCCCAGCCUUUUUGUUUGUUUCAAUAGCUUUCGGGGUACAAGUGGCUUUUGGUUACAUGGAUGUAUCGUAUAGCAGUGAAGUCUGAGAUUUUAGUGCACCCAUCACCCAAGUAGUGUAUAUUGUACCCAAUAUUUAUAGUGUUUUAUCCCUUAUCCUCUUCAUACCCUCCCCCUUCUGAGUCUCCAGUGUCCAUUAUACCACUUGGUACCCACUGCUUAGCUCCCACUUACACAUGAGAACGUAAGGCAUUUGGUUUUCCAUUCCUGAGUUACUUCACUUAGAAUAAUGGCUUCCAACUCCAUCCAAGUUGCUUCAAAAGACAUUAUUUGAUUCUUUCUAUGGUUGAGUAGUAUUCCGUGGUGCAUACACAUCACAUUUUCUUUAUCCACUCAUCAGUUGAUGGGCACUUACUUUGGUUCCAUAUCUUUGCAAUUGUGAAUUGUACUGCGAUAAACAUACGUGUGUAUGUGUCUUUUUGAUAUAGUGACUUCUUUUCCUUUGGGUAGAUACCCAGUAGUGGGAUUGCUGGAUUGAAUUGUAGAUCUACUUUUAGUUCUUUGAGAAAUCACCAUACUGUUUUCCACAGAGGUUGUACUACUUUACAUUCCCACCAGCAGUGUAUAAGUGUUCCCUUUUCAUCACAUCCAUGCCAACAUCUAUUGUUUUUUUGACUCUUUAGUAAGCCCCAGUCUUAACCCCAAACCUUAAUCUGUACCCAAUCCUGAACCUCAAAUUCUGCUUUAUCCUUGAUGAACCCCAAUUUGUAUCUCAACCAAUAACCUAAAUCUUGACUGAGUUCUUGACUCCAAAUAUCAACUCAGGCUAGGAUCCAGACCUCAAUCAAACUUAACCCUCCUGACCCUUGACCUUAACCCUGAACCAUUAGCCAUAAGCCAAACUCAACCUUGACCUGAGCAGUGAAUGUCACCAUAGCCUGAGUAUCAAGCCUGCCACGGGAUAAUUCAGACAUUAGUCUCCAUUCCCAUCAUAUUCUAGGAAGCCCACAUUCAUAUCCUCCCCCAUGAACCCAUUCCCUCACAUCCAACACCAAUUCUAACACUCUCACCCCAUCCC